Molecule: ribosomal RNA, 415 nt
Filed under: uncultured bacterium
Lineage: Bacteria
Description: bacterial SSU rRNA
Rfam family: Bacterial small subunit ribosomal RNA
Source: RNAcentral
AUUGAACGCUGGCGGCAGGCUUAACACAUGCAAGUCGAGCGGAGACUUCGGUCUUAGCGGCGAACGGGUGAGUAAUACCUAGGAAUCUGCCUAUUAGUGGGGGAUAACGAAUCGAAAGGUUCGCUAAUACCGCAUACGUCCUACGGGAGAAAGGGGGGGAUCUUCGGACCUCUCGCUAAUAGAUGAGCCUAGGCCGGAUUAGCUAGUUGGUAGGGUAAAGGCCUACCAAGGCGACGAUCUGUAGCUGGUCUGAGAGGAUGGCCAGCCACACUGGAACUGAGACGCGGUCCAGACUCCUACGGGAGGCAGCAGUGGGGAAUAUUGGACAAUGGGGGCAACCCGAUCCAGCCAUGCCGCGUGUGUGAAGAAGGCCUCGGUUGUAAGUCUCUUUCUAGUCAGGAACGAAACGGUAGGU